This 494-nucleotide ribosomal RNA is filed under the name uncultured bacterium. Its description in RNAcentral is "partial 16S ribosomal RNA". It matches the Rfam family "Bacterial small subunit ribosomal RNA", at positions 28 to 507 of the family's 1533-position model. The record is from RNAcentral.
GACGAACGCUGGCGGCGUGCUUAACACAUGCAAGUCGAACGGUGAAGCGCCUUCCUUUUUGGUGGGUGUGGAUGAGUGGCGAACGGGUGAGUAACACGUGAGUAACCUGCCCCCUUCUUCUGGAUAACCGCAUGAAAGUGUGGCUAAUACGGGAUAUUCUGGGUCUGUCGCAUGAUGGGUCUGGGAAAGAUAUUGUUUCGGUGGGGGAUGGGCUCGCGGCCUAUCAGCUUGUUGGCGGGGUGAUGGCCUACCAAGGCGGUGACGGGUAGCCGGCCUGAGAGGGUGGACGGUCACACUGGGACUGAGACACGGCCCAGACUCCUACGGGAGGCAGCUGUGGGGAAUAUUGCACAAUGGGCGCAAGCCUGAUGCAGCGACGCCGCGUGAGGGAUGGAGGCCUUCGGGUUGUGAACCUCUUUCGCCAGUGAAGCAGGCCUGCCUCGUUUGUGGGUGGGUUGACGGUAGCUGGAUAAGAAGCGCCGGCUAACUACGUG